This 231-nucleotide ribosomal RNA is filed under the name uncultured Staphylococcus sp. RNAcentral describes it as "partial 16S ribosomal RNA". It matches the Rfam family "Bacterial small subunit ribosomal RNA", at positions 109 to 334 of the family's 1533-position model. The record is from RNAcentral. Lineage: Bacteria; Bacillati; Bacillota; Bacilli; Caryophanales; Staphylococcaceae.
AGUAACACGUGGAUAACCUACCUAUAAGACUGGGAUAACUUCGGGAAACCGGAGCUAAUACCGGAUAAUAUUUUGAACCGCAUGGUUCAAAAGUGAAAGACGGUCUUGCUGUCACUUAUAGAUGGAUCCGCGCUGCAUUAGCUAGUUGGUAAGGUAACGGCUUACCAAGGCAACGAUGCAUAGCCGACCUGAGAGGGUGAUCGGCCACACUGGAACUGAGACACGAUCCAG